This 7790-nucleotide long non-coding RNA is filed under the name Homo sapiens (human). RNAcentral describes it as "HSALNT0020354". Lineage: Eukaryota; Metazoa; Chordata; Mammalia; Primates; Hominidae. The record is from RNAcentral.
GUGCAGUGGCACAAUCUCGGCUCGCUGCAACUUCCACCUCCCAGGGUCAAGUCAUUCUCUUGCCUCUGCCUCCCGAGUAGCUGGGAUUACAGGCACACACCAUCACACCCAGCUAAUUUUUGGAUUUUAGUAGAGACGGGGUUUCACCAUGUUGGCCAGGCUGCUCUCGAACUCCUGACCUCACGUGAUCUGCCCUCCACAGCCUCCGAAAGUGCUGAUAUUACCGGUGUGAGCCACCAUGCUCAGCCCUCAAUCAUAUUUUUUGUUUCUUCUUGUCACUUUAAACUUUAUAGUUGCUUCUUGCUUUUUUUUUUUUUUUUGAGACAGGGUCUCACUGUCAUUCAGGCUGGAGUGCAGUGGCAAAAUCAUGACUUACUGUAGCCUCAAACUCCUGGGCUCAAGUGAUCUUCCCACCUCAGCCUCCCAAGCUGAGACUACAGGGACGUACCACCACACCCGGCUCAUUUUAAAAUUUUUUGUAAAGAUGAGGUCUCACUAUGUUGUCCAGGCUGGUCUUGAAUUCCUGGCCUCAAGUGAUCCUCUUUCUUGGCCUCCCAAAGUGCUGUGAUGACAGGCGUGAGCCACUGUUGCCCUCUUUUUAUCUUGUCUUUUAUUACAGUUUUGAUUUUUCCAUUAAUUUAAUAUUUUUUCUUUAUUAAAUGCUUUUUUGGCCAGGCACAGUGGCUCAUGCCUGUAAUCCUAGCACUUUGGGAGGCCGAGGCGGGCAGAUCACCUGAGGUCAGGAGUUCAAGACCAGCCUGGCCAACAUGAUGAAAUGCCAUCUCUACUAAAAUACAAAAAUUAGCCGUGCAAGAUGGCAGGUGCCUAUAAUCCCAGCUACUCCAGAGGCUGAGAUGGGAGAAUCACUUGAACCCGGGAGACGGUGAUUGCAGUGAGCUGAGAUUGAGCCACUGCACUCCAGCUUGGGCGGCUGAGUGAGAGUCCAUCUCAAAAAAAAAAAAAUUAAAUAAAUAAAUAAACAAAUGCUUUUUAAAAAAUAACUUACUUUCUCUUGAUUUAUUAAAUGGAAGGCAUAAGCACAGUUCUAAUGUGCGGCUGUGCUGUGCAGAUGACCCACAGCUUAAGCUAAGGGGGCCAGAAGUUUUUCCCCUCUGUUUUGUGGUGCUGGCUUCCUUUAAUGGGCACAUAUUAUCUUCCUAGUUAAAAAAAUCUUAACCUGAUUGAUAUAGGAGACCUGCUGGCCAGAAGUUCCCCUAAGGUUAAGAUUCCCAUUCCCUGGUGUACAAACCCUGAAUAAUCCCUUCCCCUUGAGUGUGGGUGGGACAUGUAAAUAUCCCACUCCUGUGUACCACCUUUGGGCUGAUGACUCUCUAACCCAGGGGUUGGCAGACUUUUUCUGAAAGGGCCACAUGGCUUUGUGGGCCAUACAGUCUCUGUUGCAAAUACUCAACUCUGCUGCUGUAUUAUGAAAGCAGGCAUAAGGAAUACAGAAAUGGAGUUGGGCACAGUAGUUCAUGCCUAUAAUCCCAGCACUUUGGGAGGCCAAGGUGGGAGGAUUGCUUGAGGUUAGGAGUUGAGGACCAGCCUGGACAACAUAGGGAGACCCCAUCUCUACAAAAACUAAAAAUAAAAAAUUAGCCAGGUGUGGUGGUGCAUGUCUGCAGUCCUAGCUACUUGAGAGGUUGAGGCAGGAGAAUCUUUUGAGCCCAAGAGUUCAAGUUACAGUGAGCCAUGAUCAUACCACUGCAUUCCGCCCUAAGUGAUAGAGCAAGACCCUAUCUCUUAACUAACUAACUAACUAACUAAAUAAAUAAAUAAAUCAGAAUGAAUGGGCUUGACUGUGUUUCAAUAAUGCUUUAUUUGCAAAACAGGCUGCCAGCCCCCUGGCCAUGGUUUACUGACUCUAAACCAUAUCACCUUCCCCAGACCCUUCUCCUGGACUCCAGAUGCACCUCCACCUGCCCUCUGGGCAUCUCAUCUUAGCUGUCUCAGAGGCAGGUCAGACUCAUCUCCUCCUGUAGUCCACUCCUGACACCUAGUUUUUUCCUGUGUUCUCUGUCUUAUAAACCAUAUCCCCAUCUUGUCAAGUGCUGGAGUCGGAAAACCAGACAUGAUCUCCCCUCAUCUCUCUCCCCAACGUCCCAUAUCUAAUCAGUCACCAAUUAGUCUAAUUUCUAAAGUUAUCUCAGAUCUAUGCCCUUGAUUCCAUCUGUACUGCUACCAAUCACUAUUUCCUAUCUCAAAUACCAUGACAGUCCCCUGCAGUGGGCAGAAAAAUGGCCUGGCAAAGAUGUCCACAUCCUAAUCCCCAGAACCUAUGAAUAUUUUGCCUUGCAUGAGAAAAGGGACUUUGCAGAUGUGACUAAAUGAAGGAUCUUGAGAUAGGGAGGUUAUCCUGGGUUAUCCAGAGGGGCCCAAUGUAAUCACAAAGGUCCUUAUAAAAGAGAGGUUGGGUUGGACGUGGUGGCUCACACCUGUAAUCCCAGCACUUUGGGAGGCCGAGGUGGGUGCAUCACUUGAAGGUCAGGAGUUUGAGACCAGCCUGGCCAACGUGGUGAAACCCCCAUCUCUACUAAAAAUACAAAAAUUAGCCGGGCAUGGUGGCAAGUGACUGUAGUCCCAGCUACUCGGGAGGCUGAGGCAGGAGAAUCGCUUGAACCCAGGAUUGUGCCAUUGCACUCCAGCCUGGGCAACAAGAGCAAAACUUCAUCUCAAAAAAAAAAGAGAGGCUGGAGGGUCAGACAUAGAGAAGAGACAUGAACACAAAAGCAGAGGUUGGAGUCAUCCCCUUUGAACGUGGAGGAAGGGGCCAUGACCCCAGGAAUGCAGAUGGUCCCUGGAAGCUGGAAAAGACAUAGACACGGAUUUUCCACUUGAACUUCUAGAAGGAACCCGCCCGGCCAACACCUUAACUUUAUCCCAGUGAGUCUGACUUUGGACUUCUGACCUCCAGACCUGUGUGAUUUGUAUUACAUUUAUGUGAUUUGUAGCCACUCAAUCUGUGGUCAUUUGUUACAGCAACCACAGGGAAGCACUACAUGUCCUAAUCCUCCCUCCAGUCUUGUUCCCCCUCAGCCUGUUCCCCACAUCACCCCAAACACAAAUAUGAUCUGUCCCAUUCCCCACUGAAAACACUUCAGUGACUUCCUGCAUCCUUAGGAUAAAUUGCAAGCUCCUUACAAGACCCCAUCACCCGGCUCCCACCAGUUCAUGUUCUGAUCAUAAUGAAUUUUAUGUCAUGCUCUCUCCUGUUAAACUGGAUGCUCUGUUUAGGACACAUUUUCCUCCUCUCUGUCCAGACUCCUCUAAGUCCUCUUCAGUUCUCAACUUAGACAUCAUUUCCUCAGGGAGCUGGUCCCUGGCCCCAUUCUGAGUUCAGUCCCUCUGUUGAAGACGACACUGUAAUUCCGCUAUCAUAGCCCCGACCUGCUUCAUGUUGGGACAUGAAGUCAGAGACUGCACAUCCAUCUGGUUGGCCACUCUGCACCCAGCACCUUGCCUGCUGCCUGGCACACACCAGGGCACAGUGAAUACAAAAGUGAACAAGGGGCAAGUCCAGGGAGACUGAGUGGAGGUGGAGUUGAGGGGCUCCAGUACUAUCUAAUCUCCCCUUGCAAAAACUGGGGGUGGAAAGUCCAUGGGGAGAGAGAUCUGGAGCAGGCUUAGGGCGGUGGGAGUCUGAAUUGCCCUCAUUUCCCUUUCUGCUCAGCCCUGGUGGGGAAGGUGCUGGGAAGGGGAGCCAGGCGUCACUGCCCCACUGCUACAAUUAGCUGAGCCUUUCAUUCUCCCUCUACAAAGAGGAGAGAGAAAAUCAAAGGGAGAUAAAAGUGAAUGUCCCACAAAGGACAUCGAGAUGAGGGGGAAGGAAGGGAGGGUGGUGGGAGUGAGAGGCAGAGGCAGAGAGAACGCCCUGCGGCCCAAACAAAAGCCUAAAACCAGCGGAUCCCAAGCAUCAGACGGUAGAGACAUAAGGACAGGAAGAGACUGGGCCGCGUGGGGAUCGGGCAGCCCAUCAGCCAAGGAGGAGAGGGAAUGAAGAAAGAUAAAACGCCUAUGUGAAUGGCCAGGGAAGAGGGUGGACAGGGACCCCGGAUGGAGUGAGGACAAAAGCAUGAAAAGACAAGAUCGCCACCAUCCCGCUGGAGUGUGACGGCGCAAUCUCAGCUCACCGCAAUGUCCGCCUCCCAGGUUCAAGCGAUUCUCCUGCCUCAGCCUCCUGAGUAGCUGGGAUUACAGGUAUGUGCCACCAUGCCCAGCUAAUUUUUGUGUUUUUAGUGGAGACAAGGUUUAUCCAUGUUGGUCAGGCUGGCCUUGAACUCCUGACCUCAGGUGAUCCACCCGCCUCAGCCUCCCAAAGUGCUGGGAUUAUAGGCGUGAAUCACCGCACCUGGCCUGAGCCACCGCUCCUGGCCAGAGGUGCCCUUUACAGCCAGACUAAGAGGACCUUAGACACACCCAGGGGCAUGCUUUCGUCUCCUCAUGAGGCUAUGCCAGGUUGAAGAACCCCGACCUUGGGAAAUGUAUUCCUGUGAGGAGAGAGGCCGGUUAAACCCUCUGCUCAGAGCUAAGGCAAGGCCUGCUCUGUCCUUUUGUUCUGUAGGGAAUGCACAUCUGACAAUUACCCUAGCUGUGGGCAGAUCCUUAGAAGGAUGUGAGACCAGGGAGAAGUGGCCUGAGAGUGCCUUGGGGCUCAGAAGGUCCCCCAUAAGAAAGCCUGAAGAUCACUCUCUCUCCGAAGGGAGAAGGCAGGCCUGAGAGGCAAGGAAGCAGACUGGGAACGGGGCCGCAGGGGACUCAGAGCCAGCGUACCUGGUCAUUGCAGGAACACACACAUCUCCACGUUCCAAAGCCCCUCUGAGGGGCCCAGGUCUUCACUCAGAUUGUCUGAACAGCCCCACCAGAUUCCAGCUCGGCCAUCAGGAGCAAAGGAUCAGCCCGUGUCCUCACUUAGGACUGAGCAGCAAGGCGAACCCUACCUUCGCGGCCCUCCUCGUGCUGGGUGCAGUUCAGACUGUGGGCUUGGGGGGAACCUGUGGUUGUGCUUGGCAACCUCCAGAGUUGACUGGCCUUGGAGGGUCUCAGGCUGAGUCGGGGGCUAUUUUUAGUUCAUUUAAUCAUUUAGUUGCUUACUGUCUUUUAUAUCGUUUUAAUAAUCUUUUUUAUUUCUUUUAAUUUACUUUGUCUCUUUUAUUGUCUGCUAUAUUAUUUUUUCUCUUCCUGUUUUCUAUUUUUUCAUCUUAAUAAACUGGAUGCUGGGAGUCUAGGCCUCUGGGGAGAUCCAUGAGGCAGCCCUUGCCCCCAGGCAAAUGAAGCCGGAUGCUCUGCCCUCUCUGAUGGCCCCCAAAUCCCCUUACCAGGCACCUCACAUCCCCAUUGACUCUGCUGACUCGUAAAAACCUCCACCAGUGGAAUUCAGGAGCCCCCAGGCCAGAGUUGUCCCCAGGGUGAUGAUAAUAUAUUUACCUACACUUACACACAUUUGAAGUAUAGGAAAAUGUUGGUAACCCUUUUGCUAUUGUUUUUGUUUGUUUUUUGAGAUGGAGUCUUGCUCUGUCACCCAGGCUGGAGUCCAGUGGUGCAAUCUCGGCUCACUGCAAGCUCCGCCUCCCAGGUUCGUGCCAUUCUCCUGCCUCAGCCUCCCCAGCAGCUGGGACUACGGGUGCCUGCCACCAUGCCCAGCUAAUUUUUUUGUAUUUUUAGUAGAGAGGGUUUCACCGUGUUAGCCAGGAUGGUCUCGAUCUCCUGACUUCAUGAUCCGCCCACCUCGGCCUCCCAAGGUGCUGGGAUUACAGGCGUGAGCCACUGUGUCCAGCCACCCUUUUGCUAUUUUUAUAAUUAGAAAGUUAAUACAUGCUCAUCAUCAAAAAAUAUAAAUCUAAAAGUGUAUGAAGUAGAAAAUGUAAGUCCUCUGUUUCCCCCAAAUCCUUGGGAGAAACCUUGCUAAGAUAAUACAUGUGUGGAACUAAAUCUGCAGCCUAGAUAUACACUUACCCAUUUAAAAUUUGAUAGGUGGCUGGGCACAGUGCUUCAUGCCUAUAAUCCCAGCACUUUGGGAGGCAGAGGCAGGCAGAUCACCUGAGGUCAGGAGUUUGAGACCAGCCUCACCAACAUGGUGAAACCCCAUCUCUACUAAAAAUACAAAAAUUAGCUAGGCGUGAUGUUGCACGCCUGUAGUCCCAUCUACUCAGGAGGCUGAGGCAGGAGAAUCACUUGAACCUGGGAGGUGCAGGUUGUAGUAAGCCGAGGCUGCGCCACUGUACUCCAGCCUGGGCAACAGAGUGAGACACGGACUCAAAAAAUAAAAUAAAAUAAAAUUUAAUAGGUGGCUGGGCAUGGUAGCUAACGCCUGUAAUCUCAGCACUUUUGGAGGCUGAGGCAGGUGGAUUGCUUGAGCUCAGGAGUUCAAGACCAGCCUGGGCAACAUGGUGAGACCCUGUCUUUACCAAAAAAAAAAAAAAUACAAAAAGUUAGCCAAGCAUGGUGAUGUGCACCUGUAGUCCCAGCUACUUGGGAGGCUGAGGUGGGAGGAUCACUUGAGCCCAGGAGGUGGAGGUUGCAGUGAGCCAUGAUUGCGCUACUGCACAAUUGCAACAUUGCACUCCAGCCUGGACCACAGAGUGAGAUCUUGUCUCAAAAAAAAAUAAAAAUAAAAAUUGAUAGUUAAGGCCAAAUUGUCCUUCAGAAAUACUAAGCCAAUUUAUAUUUCUACCAACAGUUUAGGAAAGGGUCCCUUUUCCCUUUGCCUGCACCCUCACCAGCCUUCACCAACACAGCAGCAGGGCUAACCUAGACUUUUGGAAAUUGUUCCUGUAUCUGCCUACCCUUGUUUACCACCCCACCCCAUUCUCAGGCUAUUGGGAUUCAGGGUCGAUGGGAAUGACUCUCGUCCGUUAAUCACCAGGAGAUGCAACAUCCUUGCUGGGCAAGGCUCCUGCUGUGGACUCCUGCUGUGGACUCCCCCCACCGACCAGCACCGUAGGCCAGCUGCUGCCCCUACGAAGGACAUGCCAAUGAGCUCCCUGCAGUCUUGCAGAAGCAAAAACUUGCCCACUCAAGCAGGAGACCCCAGGCAUGCUUGAAGGUGGGCAGGUGCCUGUCUUCAUGUUCAAGUGGGCAGACACCCACCAAAUGCCAAAUGUGAGUCAUGCCUGUGAGUCCCUCAGAAUUUCUCCCAGAUCCUGACCCUCCCACCACAUCUAACAGCAUCGCGUUGCUCCGGGGAAUCCAAGUACUGUGUGUGCGCCCGGCAGGGGCCUGUGGUUAGGAAGGUGGGUGUUCCUGCCAGCCCACUGCUGCUGGGUGGAGAGUCCAAGGAGGGGCAGGGAGGGAGGGAGGUGUUGGUUGCAUAGUCAGCUUCAGAGAUACUCCAUCUGCAGGUGAGAGAGGACGGAUGGGAGGCAGCCCAAGCUAAGGGUAAACAGAUGUGGAGAUCAGGUGGGACCAGGUGGAAGAAGCAGCAGAAAUGAGGUGAGAGGGUGAGGAGGAAAGCUGGCUGGAAGGAGGCCCCCACAUACCCAGGACCUGAGUGCCAGCUGGCUCUUCAAGUCCAGGCAGCUGGUGGAAAGGUGAGAGCUAGUCAGUAUCCCAGAUAACUGGUUUGACGUUUCCUCUCUGAGUUAAUUGAACAGUUAACUUUGGCCACAGAAAACAGCCCUGAAUUUUAUUACUUGGAAGUUAAGACAGACUUUCUCUUUUCCUUCUGCUUCCUCAAUGAUGUGGCUUUCUGUGGGACAAACCUCCCAGAAAGAGAGAGAGAGAGAGAGAGAGAGAGAGAGAGAGAGAUGUUAGUGGCCAUAGUCCAUGGCAGCAGGUGCCUGGGUAGACCAUCA